AAAAAUAGUUCCAGCAAACUGUGAACGAGAAAGGCAAAGCAGUACUGGACCAAAGAAGAGACAGAGGAGGUUCAAAAUGUGUACCGGGAUGCCAUCAAGGAGUUGGUUGAAAAUAACUCCACGGUCCCUAUGCAUGUGGUGCAACAAUUAAGGGCAGGACGGUGGGAAAGAUUCUCAAGUGAGCAGAUCAGAGAAAAAAUCAGGAAUCUAGUGAAGAUAAUGAAGAAGAAAUGUUAAUGACAUUGGAAUUUUUCAGGCGACUUUUGUGUUUUAUACGCGGAUUUAUUUUGAUUAUGUUAACGUUUGAUUUAGAUAAUUAUGCUUAAUUUAUUCUACUUCUUUUGACUUUAGGAACUCUGUGAUAUUUAAUUAUUUAAUUGUUUUAGUUUAAGGAUUUAGUUUAAGGAUGAUCAAAAACUUUGAAAUAUUGAACUAAUGGAUGGUGGAGUGAGAUCACAUGCAUUAGUUCAAUAUUUCAAAGUUUGGAUCAUUUCAUUAUUUAAUUAAUUUGUUUACACAUACUCUUUUUUGAUGUUUCUUCAUAUUUAUGUAUUUUAGUAAAUAUUUUAUUAUGUUGAUACCUUGUUAACGUUUGUUUAGGAUAUGCUUAAUUUAAAGACUUCUUUUGAUUUUCAGAAUUCUGUGAUAUUUGAUUAUUUGAUUACUUAAGUUUAAGGAUGAUCCAAAAUUUAAAACAUUGAACUAAUGAAUGUUGGCAUGAGAACAAAUUCAUUAGUUCAAUAUUUCACAAUCUGGACCAUUAAUAAAUACAUAAACUAAUUAAUUUGUUUACACAUCCUCUUUUUUUUAUAUAGAUCUUCUGUUUCUAUGUAUUUUAGUGAAUAUCAUUUUAUGUUGUUAUUAUGUUUUAUAAGACACUUGAUAUCAAAUUUUGGUCAUGAUCGAA
Molecule: long non-coding RNA, 907 nt
Organism: Mercenaria mercenaria
Lineage: Eukaryota; Metazoa; Mollusca; Bivalvia; Venerida; Veneridae
Exons: 2
Source: RefSeq, a predicted model, not a curated record